AUGGACGAACGCGGCCGUUUCGACGAGCCUGCGGCGCGCCGCCUGUUCGUCCAGCUCGUCUCCGCGCUGGCGCACGUGCACUCGCGCGGCGUGUUCCACCGCGACGUGAAGCCGGAGAACCUCCUGCUGGACGAGCACGGCGACCUGAAGCUGACGGACUUCGGGCUGUGCGUCCUCGCCGACCGGCAUCUCGGCGCCGACGGCCUCGCGGCCACGAGCUGCGGGUCCCCGGCCUACGUCGCGCCGGAGAUCCUGUACAAGAAGCGGUACGACGCCGGCAAGGUCGACGUGUGGUCCUCGGGCGUGGCGCUCUUCUCGCUCACGGCCGGCUACCUGCCGUUCAACGACGGCAACCUCAUGGGCAUGUACCGCAAGAUCUUCUCUGGCAGAUUCCGGUGCCCCAGGUGGUUCUCGCCGGAGCUGCGGAGCCUCAUCGGCCGGAUGCUGGACCCAGACGCCGACAUGCGCAUCAAGAUAUGUGAGAUCAUGGAGCACCCUUGGGUACAACAAGACGGGACGUCGUCGUUUGACAUCAUUCAAGCUCGUUCCUCUGAUCCUAGGCCGGAAGUGAUGAAAUGGGAAGCAGAAAUGGAGCAAGUGAGGGAACUGAACGCGUUCGACAUAAUCGCGUUCGCGUCGGGAUGCGAUCUGAGCGGGUUGUUUGGUCCAUUGCCGGACCGGGUUCGAUUUGCUGUACAAGGUGUGGACAUUGGGUCAGUGCUGGAUAAGGCUGAGGAGAUUGGGCGCAAGGAGGGGUUCACGGUGAGGAGGAAGGAAGAAGUUGGGUGCGGUGGGGUCAUGUUUGAGGCGAUUGGUAGGGAGGUCAUUGCCCUGGUUAGGGUUAGUCGGUUGUUAGAGGAAAUGUUGAUGGUUGAGGUGGAAAGAGCUAGCUCAAGUGAGGCACCUAAUUUGUGGGAGAGGCUUCAGCUAGGUCUUAAACUCUCAAAUGAUUGA
Molecule: ribosomal RNA, 954 nt
Filed under: Triticum aestivum (bread wheat)
Lineage: Eukaryota; Viridiplantae; Streptophyta; Magnoliopsida; Poales; Poaceae
Description: partial small subunit ribosomal RNA
Source: RNAcentral